UGAAUACGAGACGCUAAGGCGUCGAAGUAGUGUAUGUCAUACUUCCAAGAAAAGUUUGCACUGUCAUAAGUAAAAAAUGCCUGUACCAUAACCGACACAGGUGGGUAGGUAGAGUAUACUAAGGGGCGCGAGAUAACUCUCUCUAAGGAACUCGGCAAAAUAACUCCGUAACUUCGGGAGAAGGAGUACCUUAUUCUAUAAGGUUGCAAUAACAAGAUCCAAGCAACUGUUUAUCAAAAACACAGGUCUCCGCUAAGUCGUAAGACGAUGUAUGGGGGCUGACGCCUGCCCAGUGCCAGAAGGUUAAAGAAGUCGGUUAGCAUUAGCGAAGCUGGUAACUGAAGCCCUGGUGAACGGCGGCCGUAACAAUAACGGUCCUAAGGUAGCGAAAUUCCUUGUCGGGUAAGUUCCGACCCGCACGAAAGGCGUAAUGAUUUGGAUACUGUCUCGGAGAGGGGCUCGGUGAAAUAGACUUGUCUGUGAAGAUGCGGACUACCUGCACCAGGACAGAAAGACCCUAUGAAGCUUUACUGUAACUUGAAAUUGAAAUUGGACUUUAUUCGCGCAGUAUAGGUGGGAGGUGUUGAUUAUAAUCUUGCGGGAUUAUUGGAGCCAUCAGUGAGAUACCACUCUUGUAAUGUUAGAUUUCUAACUUUGAAUCAUUAUCUGGUCAAAGGACAGUUUCAGGCGGGCAGUUUGACUGGGGCGGUCGCCUCCCAAACGGUAACGGAGGCGUACAAAGGUUUCCUCUGAACGGGUAGAAAUCGUAUCUAGAGUGUAAAGGCAUAAGGAAGCUUGACUGUGAGACCUACAAGUCGAACAGGGACGAAAGUCGGUCUUAGUGAUCUGACGGUACUGAGUGGAAAGGCCGUCACUCAACGGAUAAAAGUUACUCUAAGGAUAACAGGCUGAUCUCCCCCAAGAGUUCACAUCGACGGGGAGGUUUGGCACCUCGAUGUCGGCUCAUCGCAUCCUGGGGCGGUAGUACGUCCCAAGGGUUGGGCUGUUCGCCCAUGAAAGCGGUACGCGAGCUGGGUUCAGAACGUCGUGAGACAGUUCGGUCCAUAUCCGGUGUAGGCGUUAGAAUAUUGAGAGGAGCCUUCUUUAGUACGAGAGGACCGAGAAGGACAUACCUCUGGUGUACCAGUUAUCGUGCCAACGGUAAACGCUGGGUAGCUAUGUAUGGAGUGGAUAACCGCUGAAAGCAUCUAAGUGGGAAGCCCACCUCAAGAUAAGUAUUCUCAC
This 1245-nucleotide ribosomal RNA is filed under the name metagenome. RNAcentral's name for it is "bacterial LSU rRNA". It matches the Rfam family "Bacterial large subunit ribosomal RNA", at positions 1564 to 2817 of the family's 2925-position model. The record is from RNAcentral.